GAUCCUGGCUCAGGAUGAACGCUGGCGGCGUGCUUAACACAUGCAAGUCGAACGAAGCACUUAAGUUUGAUUCUUCGGAUGAAGACUUUUGUGACUGAGUGGCGGACGGGUGAGUAACGCGUGGGUAACCUGCCUCAUACAGGGGGAUAACAGUUAGAAAUGGCUGCUAAUACCGCAUAAGCGCACAGGAUUGCAUGAUCCAGUGUGAAAAACUCCGGUGGUAUGAGAUGGACCCG
This 236-nucleotide ribosomal RNA is filed under the name uncultured bacterium. RNAcentral describes it as "partial 16S ribosomal RNA". It matches the Rfam family "Bacterial small subunit ribosomal RNA", at positions 15 to 233 of the family's 1533-position model. The record is from RNAcentral.